RNAcentral lists this non-coding RNA (22 nucleotides) under Rattus norvegicus (Norway rat). Lineage: Eukaryota; Metazoa; Chordata; Mammalia; Rodentia; Muridae. The record is from RNAcentral.
UUGUUUUCUUAAUUUUCAAGGA